GAUGAAGAACGCAGCGAAAUGCGAUACUUGGUGUGAAUUGCAGAAUCCCGUGAACCAUCGAGUCUUUGAACGCAAGUUGCGCCCGAAGCCAUUAGGCCGAGGGCACGCCUGCCUGGGCGUCACACGUCGUUGCCCCCCCCAUCUACUCCUUCGGGAUUGCGGGGGGCGGAUGAUGGCCUCCCGUGCGCCUCGCCGCGCGGUUGUCAUAAAUGCCAAGUCCUCGGCGACGCACGCCACGACAAUCGGUGGUUGCGAAACCUCGGUUGCCCGUCGUGUGCGGUCGUCGCGCAUCGAGGGCUCGAAAAAAUUGCCGAGUUCCGGCUCGGCUUUCAACGCGACCCCAGGUCAGGCGGGGUUACCCGCUGAAUUUAAGCAUAUCAAUAAGCGGAGGA
RNAcentral lists this unclassified non-coding RNA (392 nucleotides) under soil metagenome. RNAcentral describes it as "partial contains 5.8S ribosomal RNA, internal transcribed spacer 2, and large subunit ribosomal RNA". The stretch from base 1 to 122 matches the Rfam family "5.8S ribosomal RNA", at positions 35 to 154 of the family's 154-position model. The record is from RNAcentral.